This 465-nucleotide ribosomal RNA is filed under the name uncultured bacterium. Its description in RNAcentral is "partial 16S ribosomal RNA". It matches the Rfam family "Bacterial small subunit ribosomal RNA", at positions 29 to 507 of the family's 1533-position model. The record is from RNAcentral.
AUGAACGCUGGCGGCGUGCUUAACACAUGCAAGUCGAACGAUGAAGCCCAGCUUGCUGGGUGGAUUAGUGGCGAACGGGUGAGUAACACGUGAGUAACCUGCCCUUAACUCUGGGAUAAGCCUGGGAAACUGGGUCUAAUACCGGAUAGGAGCGUCCACCGCAUGGUGGGUGUUGGAAAGAUUUAUCGGUUUUGGAUGGACUCGCGGCCUAUCAGCUUGUUGGUGAGGUAAUGGCUCACCAAGGCGACGACGGGUAGCCGGCCUGAGAGGGUGACCGGCCACACUGGGACUGAGACACGGCCCAGACUCCUACGGGAGGCAGCCGUGGGGAAUAUUGCACAAUGGGCGCAAGCCUGAUGCAGCGACGCCGCGUGAGGGAUGACGGCCUUCGGGUUGUAAACCUCUUUCAGUAGGGAAGAAGCGAAAGUGACGGUACCUGCAGAAGAAGCACCGGCUAACUACGUG